CACACAGCCUGUUUUUAUUUAUAGGCUGUUUUCAACUUGUCAAUUUUAAAUUAUUUUCUAACAAGUUUUUUAUUUUCUAAUAACAGAUUGAAUUGAGAUGUGUUCCGCCUCAUUCAUUCACACAAAAGUAGUCAUUUUUACUUUUGCAGAUCAAUUCAUUUUUUGGGACAUUUCUGACCCGGACAAAAUUCCCCAAACACUUCCCAAUUGUUUGUGCAGUUCAAGUCUACAGACAUUUGCUCAUCUCGUCCUGCAUACACGUGUUCACAUUUUCCUUCUGUUGCCUGCAUCGCAAUCAACGUUGUUUUCGUUACCAAUAAUAACUUUGGAAGUGUGUGUGUUUCUAUCAAAGUGGUCCACCUUCCCUGUGGCCGACAUGGUUGCUGUAUGGACAGGGAGAGGACAUGGGCGUCUCAUUUGUCAUGGCACUUUACUGCCAGCUGUUGACAUUUAUUAUUUUGUAUAACGGGUCAUUUAGGAUGGCAGUAGCGUUGUUGAAGAAAUGCAGUCAUAUCAGCAGAACUAGGAAGCAGUCUUGGGAAAAGAGGGUGGCAAAGAAGGGAGUUGCAAACAUAGGAUCUCUGCUCCAGUAUUCUCUUAGGGAGUUAUUCUUUACUAUCCCCAUGAGAAGGACUGUCACCAGGAAGCUGCUCUGUCAGAAACAACUUGAAGCACUGCCUCAGAUGGAAAUGGCAAGGGCCGUUGCACUCCAGACUGGGACUCAUCAACGCAAACAGCAGGGCCAGGAGGGGUGAAAUGGCUGGCAGCCUUCCAGCUACCACAGAACUCUUGUACUUCAUCCACUAUCGGUCUGCCUCCAUCACCACCAGCAUCUUCAAAUGGAACUAGGACUUUGUCAGUGGACAAUGGGUCCUCAGAUUCAAGGUUCUCAAUGGCUGGGUUCUCAGCUCCUCACUGUAACUGUCAGAAUCUGAUUCCUGACUUUCAGACUCAUUGUCAGAAUUUUUUUACAUCUCCAGAAUUUCCCAAUUUUGUGAGUUGUCUCCUUUUGAAAGGCAUUGCUAAUGCUACAGCUUCUCAUUAGCUACAUACAUAAACAA
Molecule: long non-coding RNA, 1061 nt
Filed under: Salmo salar (Atlantic salmon)
Lineage: Eukaryota; Metazoa; Chordata; Actinopteri; Salmoniformes; Salmonidae
Description: lncRNA (ENSSSAG00000105882.1, ENSSSAG00020047012.1, ENSSSAG00075040746.1)
Source: RNAcentral